AGCCCUGUCUCUGGAGGCGGAUGCUGGGUUCACAUUUUGACUCUAACGUGUACUGCUGGUAUGACUUUAGGUGACUGACCACCCUGAAGUGAUUCCCACCUGGGAGAAGGAAGGGGACUGCGUGGGGGAGGGCUGGCAAAGAACCCCACCACCUGGCACGUAAUACUGGAUUCUAGUCUCUGUGAGAUGGGUGAUGUCCUGCCCAUUUUACAGAUGGGAAAACUGAAGCUCAGAGAGGAAAAAAAAGAGAGCACAAGAAAAGCCCUUGUGACAAAUCUGCAUGAUCAAGGAAAAAAUGCCUCCCCUGAUGGGGUCCCCCAUGUCCGUGUCUCCUUCUGCAUCUUGAGUGCAUUCAUUGCUCUCCCUCGGGAG
RNAcentral lists this long non-coding RNA (372 nucleotides) under Phascolarctos cinereus (koala). RNAcentral's name for it is "lncRNA (ENSPCIG00000036764.1)". The record is from RNAcentral. Lineage: Eukaryota; Metazoa; Chordata; Mammalia; Diprotodontia; Phascolarctidae.